RNAcentral lists this ribosomal RNA (440 nucleotides) under uncultured bacterium. RNAcentral's name for it is "partial 16S ribosomal RNA". It matches the Rfam family "Bacterial small subunit ribosomal RNA", at positions 338 to 795 of the family's 1533-position model. The record is from RNAcentral.
CCUACGGGUGGCAGCAGUGGGGAAUAUUGCACAAUGGGGGAAACCCUGAUGCAGCGACGCCGCGUGAGUGAAGAAGGAUUUCGGUAUGUAAAGCUCUAUCAGCAGGGAAGAAAAUGACAGUACUUGACCAAGAAGCCCCGGAGAACUACGUGCCAGCAGCCGCGGUAAUACGUAGGGGGCAAGCGUUAACCGGAUUUACUGGGGGUAAAGGGAACGUAGACGGUGUGGUAAGUAUGGAGUGAAAGCCCGGGGCUCAACCCCGGGACUGCUUUGGAUACUGGGUAACUGGAGUACAGGAGGGGCAGGCGGAAUUCCUGGUGUAGCGGUGAAAUGCGUAGAUAUCAGGAGGAACACCGGCGGCGAAGGCGGCCUGCUGGACUGAAACUGACGCUGAGGCUCGAAAGCGUGGGGAGCAAACAGGAUUAGAUACCCUAGUAGUC